GACGAACGCUGGCGGCGUGCUUAACACAUGCAAGUCGAACGGAAAGGCCCUGCUUUUGUGGGGUGCUCGAGUGGCGAACGGGUGAGUAACACGUGAGUAACCUGCCCUUGACUUUGUGAUAACUUCAGGAAACUGGGGCUAAUACCGGAUAGGAGCUCCUGCUGCAUGGUGGUGGUUGGAAAGUUUCGGCGGUUGGGGAUGGACUCGCGGCUUAUCAGCUUGUUGGUGUGGUAGUGGCUUACCAAGGCUUUGACGGGUAGCCUGCCUGAGAGGGUGACCGGCCACAUUGGGACUGCGAUACGGCCCAGACUCCUACGGGAGGCAGCAGUGGAGAAUAUUGCACAAUGGGCGGAAGCCUGAUGCAGCAACGCCGCGUGCGGGAUGACGGCUUUCGGGUUGUAAACCGAUUUCGCCUGUGCCGAAGCGUGAGUGACGGUAAUGGGUAAAGAAGCAACGGCUAACUACGUG
RNAcentral lists this ribosomal RNA (468 nucleotides) under uncultured bacterium. Its description in RNAcentral is "partial 16S ribosomal RNA". It matches the Rfam family "Bacterial small subunit ribosomal RNA", at positions 28 to 507 of the family's 1533-position model. The record is from RNAcentral.